CAGCCCUAAACGAUGCGCGUUAGGUGUAUCGGUGACCACGAGUCACCGAGGUGCCGAAGGGAAACCGUGAAACGUGCCGCCUGGGAAGUACGGUCGCAAGGCUGAAACUUAAAGGAAUUGGGCGGGGGGGGCACAACAACGGGUGGAGCUUGCGGUUUAAUUGGAUUCAACGCCGGAAAUCUUACCGGGACCGACAGCAACAUGAAGGCCAAGCUGAAGACUUUGCCGGAUUAGCUGAGAGGAGGUGCAUGGCGUAGUCGUGU
Molecule: ribosomal RNA, 263 nt
Filed under: uncultured archaeon
Lineage: Archaea
Description: partial 16S ribosomal RNA
Rfam family: Archaeal small subunit ribosomal RNA
Source: RNAcentral